RNAcentral lists this ribosomal RNA (801 nucleotides) under uncultured bacterium. RNAcentral's name for it is "bacterial SSU rRNA". It matches the Rfam family "Bacterial small subunit ribosomal RNA", at positions 68 to 884 of the family's 1533-position model. The record is from RNAcentral.
GGAUCCUUUGGACACGUCUGAAGGUGAGAGUGGCGAACGGGUGAGUAACACGUUGGUGACCUGCCCCGGAGAGGGGGACAACCACUGGAAACGGUGGCUAAUACCCCAGAUGUCAUUGAUUUUGGAAUUCAAUGACUAAAGCCCCGGCGCUCCGGGAGGGGCCUGCGGCCCAUCAGCUAGUUGGUAGGGUAAUGGCCUACCAAGGCAAAGACGGGUAGGGGGCGUGAGAGCGUGACCCCCCACACUGGUACUGAGACACGGACCAGAUACCUGCGGGUAGCAGCAGCAAGGAAUAUUGCCCAAUGGACGAAAGUCUGAGGCAGCAACGCCGCGUGGAGGACGAAGGCCUUCGGGUCGUAAACUCCUUUUCUGGGGGAUGAGAAAGGACAGUACCCCAGGAAUAAGUCUCGGCUAACUACGUGCCAGCAGCCGCGGUAAAACGUAGGAGGCGAGCGUUAUCCGGAUUUACUGGGCGUAAAGCGCAUGCAGGCGGUUUUCUAAGUCGGACGUGAAAGCUCUCGGCUCAACUGGGAGAGGCCGUUCGAAACUAGGAGACUUGAGGGUGGUAGAGGAGAGUGGAAUUCCCGGUGUAGUGGUGAAAUGCGUAGAUAUCGGGAGGAACACCAGUGGCGAAGGCGGCUCUCUGGGCCAACCCUGACGCUAAGAUGCGAAAGCUAGGGGAGAGAACGGGAUUAGAAACCCCGGUAUUCCUAGCCGUAAACGAUGUCAACUAGGCGUAGGGGGUUAUUGACCCCUCCUGUGCUGUAGCUAACGCACUAAGUUGACCGCCUGGGGACUACG